AAUGGCUAAUGCACGUAGAAGAAGAAACUUCUUGAUCAAAGUUAGAAUAAUGUUAUGGGACCUUUCAUAAUCUACUUUCUGAGGCGGGCAAUUGGGGACUUAGCAUCAAUGAGAUAAACUUUGAGACUUUAAGGGGCAUUGAUUUUGGGAGCUUGGAGGUCCCUUUUUCAAAAGAGAAAGGUUUUGUGCUUUGUCUAGUUUGUGUGGAGAGAAAGGUCUUAAUACAACUACCAAAACGCCAAAGAGAAAGGCUAGAUGGUUCACUAUGGCGUUUUGGUAGUUGUAUUAAGACUUUGUAAAGUUCGAGGCAAUGGUCUUUUUCCGGGAUUUUUGGGAAAAGCUUGAAUGUCAAGUUCUUGAUUUUAUUCCAAAAAAAAAAAAAAAAGAGUCAAAGACUUGAAAGACUUGAUACUCAUUGAGUUUGUAUAAGCUCCUAACAAAAGUCUUGAUCAACUAAUCUAAAAAGUAUUGGGAAAAUGGUUUAUGUUCAUUAGCAUGCCUUUGUGGAGGGUGGACAAACAUUGGAUGUGGUUCUUAUUGCAAAUUGAGACCAUAAGUUCAAAACUGAAGAGUUCCAUUAGUGGAGUUAUUUGUAAACUAGAUAUCGAGAAUAUGUACAAUUAUGUCAAUUAGAACUUUUUGCGUACGAUCAUGGAGAAAAUGGGUUUUGCUAAAAAGUGGAUGAGAUUGAUAAAGUGGUGCAUAUCCUCAGUUAGAUUCUUACUGCUAGCCAAGGGACCUUAAUGGUUUUUUUGAGAUCUCUAGGGGUGUGAGUUAGGGAGAUCCUCUAUCUACUUAUUCAUUUUAUUAAUGAGGGUACUUGGUUGUAUUCUAAUGAGGACUAAGAAGGGGGGCUUCAUUUCGGGAUCUCAUUUUAUUAAUGAGAUAAACUUUGAGACUUUAAGGGGCAUUGAUUUUGGGAGCUUGGAGGUCCCUUUUUCAAAAGAGAAAGGUUUUGUGCUUUGUCUAGUUUGUGUGGAGAGAAAGGUCUUAAUACAACUACCAAAACGCCAAAGAGAAAGGCUAGAUGGUUCACUAUGGCGUUUUGGUAGUUGUAUUAAGACUUUGUAAAGUUCGAGGCAAUGGUCUUUUUCCGGGAUUUUUGGGAAAAGCUUGAAUGUC
RNAcentral lists this long non-coding RNA (1122 nucleotides) under Vitis vinifera (wine grape). RNAcentral's name for it is "long non-coding RNA (VVIN_LNC001123)". Lineage: Eukaryota; Viridiplantae; Streptophyta; Magnoliopsida; Vitales; Vitaceae. The record is from RNAcentral.